AUUUGCAACGUGCGGCCACACCUAUGAGGCAGGAGUGCAGUGGCGAGAUCUUGACUCACUGCAACCUCUGCCUCCUGGCUUCAAGCAAUUCUCAUGCUUCAGCCUGUAGCUGGAACUACAGGUCACUCCCUCUGGAGGAAACCAGCUGCCACUUUGUGAGGAUACUCAUGGCCCUGUGGAGGCAUAUCCUCCAUAUGGCUGAGACCUCCUGCCAACAACCAUCACUGACUUGCCAGACAUGAGUGUGCCACCUUGGAAGCAGAUUUUCCAGCCCCAGUCAAGCCUUCAGAUGACAUCAGCCCCUGCUAAUCUCUUGACUACAACCCCAUGAGAGACCCUGAGCCAGAACUAGGCAGGCUUACCCCUCAUGGUUACAAAGUGGCUGCAACAGCUCCGGGUGUUCUAUCCUUUAACACAGAAUAACUCAAACAACAAGACCCAACAUUCAGACAAGAAGGAAAGGGACUUUUGGAGAGUGAAGAAAACUUUCCUAGAAACCUCAGACUUCUCCCCAUGCCUUAUUGGCCAGAUUGUAUCCUAUGCCCAUUUCUAAACCAAUCAUUGGCAAAGUGAGUGGAAUUGACGUGAUUAGAUUAACUUUACCAAGAAUGCAUCCUCAGAGAGGCUGAGAAAAAGUCCAGCCUCCUUUGAAGAGCCUGGCUACCUUUCACCUGAACAAAACAAGAAUUCUGAUGAAAAAUGGAGAAUGUAUGUGGAGCAGGCACCCGGAGUGUCUAUGCCAGGAUUUUUUUUCAGUGCGUUUCACCGGUUAUAUUUUUGUCUCUUUACCUUACAAGAUAUGUGGCACGUUUGCCUAAAACAAGCCUUGCUUUCUGAUUUCUGUGCACUAGGCACUUAAACCUUGCAAAUGUCGCUUACCUAACAGUCACUGUCAAGGAGUACCUGGCUAAAGAAUCUCCAGCUAGACAAAGUAAAAGUGUCUGUGCUCUGGCAGUUGAAUAUAUUGUAUCAGGCUCAACAGCACCUUUCACCGAAGGAUGAGACUUCACAACCAUUAGAUCUUCUUUUAUUUUGUUUUUAUUAAAAAAAAAA
Molecule: long non-coding RNA, 1053 nt
Filed under: Pan troglodytes (chimpanzee)
Lineage: Eukaryota; Metazoa; Chordata; Mammalia; Primates; Hominidae
Description: lincRNA
Source: RNAcentral